UCCAGCUUCCGCUGGGAUCGAACUCGGGUCGUGAGGAGAGUUUUGGUUUCAAUACUGCUGCCUACCACUCUGUGCCACAUGAGGCUGUUCUCACAUUAUGCUAACCCAUAAAAUGGUUUGAGGGUUUUGUUAUAGCACAUUAUAUGAACUCAGUAAUUGUUUUUUGUAAAGCAUAGGUUAUGGUUUAGCAAGAUGCAUGAACAUUAUCACUGUAGCUUAUUCAAGUAAUAUGGGAACCCUGCUUGUGUGUUUGCUUUAACGGUCAUUCUGAUGCAAGAUCUGUCAACACCGUACGUGAAUAGGACACCUAAAACAGCUAAUGAUCUUUUUGCACUUCUACUUUUUUGCUAUAUAGUAUUCUUUGUAUGUUGCAACAUACCCGUGAAAUUACUUGUUUUUGGGUGCAUAUAGUCCAGAGAGAUUAUUUGCCCUCUUCUGCUAAAGCUGUUCAAAUUAUGUGCAUCUGCUGUAUUUGGGCUCACCAUAUGAGCAAAGAAGCUAGUUUCUGGGGCAGAAUUUGCCUUCCUAAGAAUCUGACCAUUCAUUGAUUAAGUACUUUACUCAGUAAGAUUCCAUAGCUUCAAAGUUAUAACUUGAAAUUCAUUCUAUAUAUACUGUAUAUUCUCUGUCAUAUCAAAAUAUGUUUUCAUCUGUGCAUGUAUCAUUUAAUUUUAUUUUGUUAUAUAUUAUCAUAUGUUUUUAUUUCCUUAUGAGUUAAUAUUUUGUUUGUCCUAGGGCCUGGAAAUGCAAAUAUUCAUAAUUUGCAUAGUUUUCAGUCUAAGUUAAAUUAUAUUUACUUCGAUUUAAAUUACAGUCCUAAAGAGAGUUGUCAGUUUUAGUAUAACCAGUGGGACUUCUAUAGAGUGGCUUGACCAUUAGACUCCUGAGCCUAUAUGGAGCUCUAUAUUCAUAGGACUCUUAUUUCUCUUUUGUGAGCAAGGCAUUAAUAUUCACACAGUGAGGAACCUGUGCUGCCUUCCUCAGGCAAGAGAAAGGGAAAAUUCUGCACAUAAUUCUAGACCAUGGGUGCUUCAGUGUUUAUACAUAGAUCCUAUUUCCUCGCUCACUUGAAUAAAUGGCAGCGGCAUUGAGACAUCAUAUUCCAGUAAAUUGCAACUGCAAUUAUUAGUAAAGAACAUUGCAUGUAUACCAGGCUUUCUGCACUCCAGUGAGAUUACUAGAAUGAUUCCAAAAUUGAUGGAGUAUACCAGUUACCUAGGAAGUGUCAAACACAGCUGGCUGACCCAUUUAAUGGUGUAAAUGUUGAUCACUCAGGUCAGAAUUAUCCUAAUGAAUACUAUUUCUCUGGCUCAGCUGGUUUGAGCUCUCAAGGCGUAGACUUAGACCUCCACUUAAGCCAUUUAUUCCUGAGGAGUUUCAUUCAGAUGACUUUUCCACAGGAUCAUUACAAUGCAAUUCAUUAGAUGGCUACAGUUUGAGGAUUGUGUCCAUAAACAGAGUUUCUCUUGAACCCCUUCCAUAUAAACCAAUGAGAUUUACUUGGGAAUAAAUGUGUUUACAAUUGCAAGAAAAAAAUUUCAGUCUCAGGUUCUUGGUUAGUAACUGGCUGAUUCAAUGAGGACACAUGGUUAGUAACAGCACUCAAACCCAAUUGAUGGAGUCAACAUUUAUAUCCAUGUUAUUGUAUAUCUGCAAUGUAAAUGAUUACUAUUUUAAAUGAUGUGUGUUACAAUUUACUGAAGUGGAUCUCUCAGCUUGGAGCUGAGAUAAAAUGUAGUACGUAGUCUUAAAAGUGUUCCUAGUUGCAAGUGUAAGAGGCCUGUGCUCUUACAUUAUUGUUUGCCAUUUUUUUAAAAAAAAUGUUCAUUAUAGAUGCAUGAGCUGCUAAUCUAAUUAGAGAGACUAAAAGGUAGACAGGAAUUAAAAUAAGUGAUGUGAAUGAGCUGCAUAGUAUAAUAUUUGCAUUUUGCAACCUAAGCGACAAAGCUUGUUGGACAUGAUAUCUUUUAGAUCUCAUUUUUGGAUUGUUUUGAAAAGAAUAUAUGUGAACGUGAAAAGUUUAGAUAAAGUAAACUUUACAUGUAGAGCAGUACAGUGUAAAAGAUUGUGUGGGAAAUUAAAGUUAGAUUUAAUUAGCUUGAUUUAUUUUUUCUUUUUGUUUGUAGUUGUUAGGAAUGAGUGCAUGAUUUCUGCUAAGCUUUAGGUAUGAUAACUCUGUACAUAAUAAUAAAAAAGUGACAAUGAUUAAAUAAUUCUACAUUUUUUGAAUAGGGCUACCAAGAAACAACAAAAAAUGGCUUACUGCUGUGCUCCCAGACAUCAUCUAUUCAGCAAAAGACAUUUGAUCAAGGAUAGUCACUAUUAAUAUCUGUAGUUCCAGUUGCUGUUAGUCACAACAAAAAGGCCAGUAUAGUAGCCUAAUUAUUGAACUACAAAUUAAAGCAGCAGAUUUCAUAUAAAGAUCUGAAGUUCAAAAGUAUCAGUUCCAUGAAUAAUUCAUGCUUUAACUUCAGUAACAAGGUAUACUACAAUAAAUAUUAGACCACUGUGUGUGUUUGUGUGCAUAUAAACUAAAGUUUCAGAGAAAAAUUGUGGAUUAAGGUAAGAUUUACUCUUAUCAAGUCUUAUAGUAUCUUUUUGUUACCUUCUUUCUUACAAAUAAAAAGGGAGGGAGGUGAAAGUAGAAUACUGAUGAAGUCUAAUAAGUGUCAAUUACUAGAAAUUAGGGCCAUUGACAAUUUUAAAAAAUAUGAAAUGGAUGUCCUCUGCACCUAACUCUGUAGUUUAGCAGGGAUUCAACAUGUUCAGAGAUACCUUUCUAUGAGGGUAUACGUUUAAAAUCUGAGAUACGUGGAUAUGUAUAAAACUCUUAGUGUACAAUAUUAUAGUGUUAAAAAAGAUUGCCAUCAACCAGUUUUUAUAAUUACUGUAUUCUGGUCAUUAGCUGUCCUGUCCCUGCUCCCAUGCCAUCAGUCCAAACUGAAAGCAAUGUAAUAUAACUACCCUUCCACAAAAUCUGAUAAAUCAGAACAUGUUCUCCCAGUUGGAAAAAAGUUGUUAGAAUUUGGCCUGGAGAUGACAUGGAUGACCACCACUGUAGAAAUCAACAAGUGAAACAGUUGCCUAUGAAAGAACUCAGCAAUCCACAAGAGACAGUGAUUAUGUAUCGCAGAGCCAGCCAAAGAUCCAGUUGCCUUCCACUGAAGAGAUGUGGUUCCACCCCAAGUGUUGCUGCCACUGACAGUGUGCAGUGAAUAGGAGAAAGUUACGUAUACCUUCCUCAGCAGAAUCUUUCAAGACUGUAAGAAUGCACCUAAACUCCCCAGUGCAAUAUAAGGAGGAAUCAUAGCAUCUAAUAUUUUUAUGACAAAUGGGUAGAACCUGAUGUCUGUGCUCAGUGGUCCUUAUAAUGCUGUUUAAUCUACAACUGUUUUCUCCGUUCUGUCAAACACGACCUUUAGAUUAAGCCACUGGAACUCUUAAUAUUCAAUAUGAUCUGAAUAACUGGUUCUGUCCUAAUCAAGUCACUUUUAUAUCAAAAUCCAUUUAUGAUUUUUGGCUAACUGCAAUAAAAGCUUCCCUAAAUCGAAAA
Candoia aspera is the source of this 3553-nucleotide long non-coding RNA. RefSeq lists it as uncharacterized. The record is from RefSeq and is a predicted model, not a curated record. The transcript is spliced from 2 exons. NCBI's taxonomy places the organism in Eukaryota, Metazoa, Chordata, Lepidosauria, Squamata, Candoiidae.